Molecule: long non-coding RNA, 1165 nt
Filed under: Equus caballus (horse)
Lineage: Eukaryota; Metazoa; Chordata; Mammalia; Perissodactyla; Equidae
Description: lncRNA (ENSECAG00000049798.1)
Source: RNAcentral
GUUUGUGCCCGAGGGUCCAGGCCGCAGCCUGGCGCUCAUCCCUCCACGGGGCCUCCUUUCUGUCUGGGGUGGAUGUGCAACGGGAAAUGAGCACAUGGGCUGGCUCGCCAGCCUCCCUGCUGGGUGGUUUCCCCCGUGUGGUGGCCAGGAGGAAAGGGGACCCUCAGGGACCUCCACUCGACAGUGACACUGCUUGCCUGCGUCCACGGGCCGUGCCGCCUCCCGCAGCUCCUCUCUUUCGUCCCAGGAUGGCUCCGUCCUGAGCCUGUCUCCCCCGCCAGAGGAGUCCAGCCGAGAGCAGCCGGACGACAGGAAGGACCUCCCGUGGGGGGCCCAGUUUGAGCCGAUGCUGCUGGAGACGGACAGCGACGGGUCCAAGUCAUCGAAAGCCACGCCGUCGAAAAAGCCGGGAAAGCAAGACUCCCUUCUCCCUCCGUCUUCUCUCCGCGUCCUGCUAACGCCUCCAGUCCACGAGAAGCCAGGCUCCCUGCGCGCGGAGAGGGUGGCGCCCAGCCUGCGCUCCCCGGGAGGCCCGGAGCCGGGAUCCCCACGGACAGCGGAGGCCCCGCUCAGCGCUCGGGCACUCAAGGAGAUGGCCGCCAGCACCAAGAGCAUCGCCCGCAUCGCGGCCACCCGGCGCUCCCGGGCGCAGGACCGCGAGGCCGGCAGUGGCCGCUCCUCCCGCCACCUUCCGGAGGAGGUGGCCCGGGGCCCCAGCCCGGCGGACAGGAGGUGGCCUCACGCCAGCCUGUGCAGGGACCACUCCGGGGAGAGGAAGGCCAGGAGCCAGCGGUCGCCCUCUGUCACGUGGAGCGUGCAGCCGGCGAUGGAGAAGCUUCAGCCCCCAUCCAUGGACCAUUCGGCUGAGAGCCGGCCGCCCCCUGUGCUCCCUCAGCUGUCCAAGUCAUCGGGAAAGAGCUUUUUCCCUGCUGUCCCAGCGGCCUCCAAGAUAAAGCCCAGCCUCAGUUUCCAUGCAGAUGACAACACGCUCCACGUGCCGGAGGUCAACUUCACCUUCCCCAGCGCCGUGUGGCAGAGCAGCAGCAGCCCCAGCAGGGUGCCCCUCCUGCCGCGGGACAUCCGAGGGUCUACAGACAGCGGAGGCCACCACCACAGCCCGCAGUCCCCCAGCAACGUCCGCAGGCACCGCAGCGGCAGCGCCAAG